UACAGAGGGUGCAAGCGUUGAUCGGAAUUACUGGGCGUAAAGCGUGCGUAGUCGGUUAUUUAAGUCGGGUGUGAAAGCCCCGGGCUCAACCUGGGAAUUGCAUUCGGUACUGGAUAGCUAGAGUUCGGCAGAGGGAAGCGGAAUUUCCGGUGUAGCGGUGAAAUGCGUAGAUAUCGGAAGGAACAUCAGUGGCGAAAGCGGCUUCCUGGACCAGAACUGACGAUCAGGCACGAAAGCGUGGGGAGCAAACAGG
This 253-nucleotide ribosomal RNA is filed under the name uncultured bacterium. RNAcentral describes it as "partial 16S ribosomal RNA". It matches the Rfam family "Bacterial small subunit ribosomal RNA", at positions 524 to 776 of the family's 1533-position model. The record is from RNAcentral.